ACAAAGUUAAGCACCAUUUUAAUUGACUAAUUGAGUAAACACUAUUGACUAUAUAUUCAUUCUUAAAAAUAUCUAGUCCAAAGAUAGUCACAAGUAAUUCAAAGAAAAUAUGAGUAAUCGUAUGGUCAAAAAUCCUUUUCAUAUUUUUCUAUGUUGUGACUUCUCAUCUCUUCACAACGCAAGCAGAGGCAAACAAAUUCGAGUACGAUGGAACAUGGAAAAUCGAGGUAAACACAACUAAAAACGCUUGUAUUUGGGGCCGAACUAAUUGCAAUUUCAACACAUUAGGAUGGUUUCAACAUCCCAGUAGAAUUUUGUCCAUAAAUUUACAAAUGAAUAAAACACAUAAGUUUCUUGAAUUGCUACUUCUAAAUUAGGAUGUUUGAAAUUUCUAUGUAAGUUUGGUUUACAUCAUUAUUACUAUCUAUUGAGCUAAAAAAUCAUUGAGAAGUACUUCAUUAUUAUUGGAAAUGAAAGAAUAUGAGGUGUCAUUUUGUUAUUGGAUAAAACCGAGCUAUACAGUAGGACCAAUCAAGAUUUGACACAUGAUAAUAUGUGUGGGGUUUUAAAGGAUGGUGACUUUACGAAAGGUUAUGCCUUUUUUAAAGGAUUGUGAUCGACCUUUUUGAAAGAUUGUCUUUUUGCGAAAAAGUUGUGACUUUUAUCAUCUCUGUUGGUUGUUGGUCAUUAAUAGGAAGACUUUCUCUCAUUUUUCUGCAUCGAAUUUUUCCUUUCUUUUGUAUAAAUUUCUUAGAAAACAAAAUCAAUCGAUUGUGUCUGUGUGUGAUCUCGUUUUGUUGUCCUUUAGAGUUCGAUGAAAUUAUCGAAGUUUGAGAUACCGCCACUUCUUUAAUAGUUAAUCUGUUUUAUCUUUGGAAGAAUUAAUCUACAACAUCGAUUGCUUGAAGGUAUUAAAAAUUAUAAGAAUACAGUGAAUUUUGUGGAUUCAAAGAGUUUUUUUUCUUUCAUCUUUUAUUAUUUCUGAUUUACUAAUCUGGAUACAUGGGCUGAAAAUAGAAACCUAAUACCAACGAAGCCUCCAGUAACUUCUUAUUAUUCAUAAGUAUCUUUUUGCCCUAGUUCUUACAUUUUAGUACCUCAUAUUUCUUAUAAUUCUUUGCUAAGUUAUUAUUUUCAAGUCAAUGAAUUAGCAUGCCUAAUAAAAUACAAUUAGUGAAUAGAGAAGGCUAGAUUAAGUAGUCAAGAGAAGUUAGGAGCAAAAAUUAACCACGCAAACAAAUUGCGUAUUUGGCUCGAAUAAAGCUACAUCAAGCAGGGACGGAGCUAGAGUAUAGAUUAUAUAUGGAUUUGAUCGAACUUAGUAAUGAUUUUGGAUCAAAUCUUAUAUUUAUCUCAAUUAAAUAUGUGAAUGUUAUUAAUUUAGAAUUCAACAAUUUGGAAAAAUUAAAUUUUAGACUUCUGGCUCUGCAUCGAUUAACAAAGACUUGUCUAUUGAAGUUAUUGAAAAGGGAUGAAAUUGUUUUGUAUAAGACGUGGCAUGUUCAAUUCAUUUAAGUUUGAGCUGAUUAUUAAGUAAUCAUAAAUUUAACUUUUCGUGUUUCUUACAUAAUUUCAAACUUCGUUCACGAUAUAUUUGAUAUUUAAGUUCAAUAUAUAUGUUAAAUUAGCUUAAUCAAGUUCCAUUCAUCAUGAGACUAAGAUUUGUAUAAUUCGGUCGAAGUUUAAGCAUAUAAUAUAUUUCUUAUAACCUAUCACUUCUCGUAAAAAAAAGAGUUAGAUUUACUCUUUUUUUUUAAGAAUUCUAAGUUCGUCCUGUUUUGAAUUUUUUUUACAUUAUAGGUAAAAAUGAUAAUUUCUUUCACCAAAAUAAUCAUUUUUGUUAAGAGAUAUAUCCAACUUUUUGUAAGUUGAUAUAAGCAAAUCAAUCAUUCCUUUUUGGCUCAGCUUAAAAGCUGGUCAAACUGACUUAAAAGCUGGUUUUUGACUUAUUUAACUGUUUGACAAUACUCAAAAUAACUUAUUUUAAGUUAAAAAGAACUUAUUUUAAGCCAAAAGUUAAAAGCUGGGGUAGGGGUGUUUUUUUUUUUAGCUUAUAAGCUGUUUUAAGUUGACCAUAUUUUUAUGUUUUUACCCUUAAUAUUUUUAUACAAUCUUCAAAUUACCCAUAUAACCCUAACAUCUCUUUCUUCUAUUUUUCCCUUUUCACGUUUGGCAUAACAACUUCGGCACUUUUAUCCAAACGCAUAACUGCUUAUUUUAGAAAUAAGUUUCAGCAUUUUCAAAAGUACUUUUUUAAAGCUGCUUUUAUUCAAGGGGACAAUUAGAAAUAUAUUUGAAUUUUGAUCGAAAUUAUUGUAAUAAUAUCAAAUUUUAGAAAAAAAAAUAUAUCCCUACACUAUUUAAUAGUAUAUUUUAUAUUUUAAUCAAAAUUGAUGUAACAAUAUCAAAUUUUAGAAAAUAUUUUUCACCCUCGCACUAUUUAAUAGUAUAUUUUAAAGAUAUAUAUGUGUCAUAUGGACAUUAAAAUAAUGCAUUAUUACAUAGAAUAUGUCCACGUGAGCACAUAUAUACCUUUAAAAUACACUUUUAAAUAGUAUAGGAGGUAUAAAGUCCUUCAUAAAAUUUAAUUUCAUAACAGUAAUUUCGACUAAAAUUAAAGUAUUUUUCCAACCUUUAUUCCUAACAAUUAUUUUUCUCUUUCCUUGUAGAUAUGAUUAAUUAGCUUUGUUUCUUGAACGCCCUCAACAUCGAAGAGGACAUUUAAUGUACAUAAUUUUUAAAUUAAUCUCGUUAAUAUGUUAGUUAAAGAGUACUUUUAAUACUUUUUUUUAGCCAAAUAAACCUUUGAAAUGGAAUUUAGGUGGG
This 2826-nucleotide long non-coding RNA is filed under the name Solanum lycopersicum (tomato). Its description in RNAcentral is "long non-coding RNA (SLYC_LNC001071)". The record is from RNAcentral. Lineage: Eukaryota; Viridiplantae; Streptophyta; Magnoliopsida; Solanales; Solanaceae.